RNAcentral lists this ribosomal RNA (301 nucleotides) under uncultured bacterium. RNAcentral describes it as "partial 16S ribosomal RNA". It matches the Rfam family "Bacterial small subunit ribosomal RNA", at positions 509 to 807 of the family's 1533-position model. The record is from RNAcentral.
CAGUAGCCGCGGUAAUACGUAGGUGGCAAGCGUUGUCCGGAAUUAUUGGGCGUAAAGGGCUCGCAGGCGGUUUCUUAAGUCUGAUGUGAAAGCCCCCGGCUCAACCGGGGAGGGUCAUUGGAAACUGGAAAACUUGAGUGCAGAAGAGGAGAGUGGAAUUCCACGUGUAGCGGUGAAAUGCGUAGAGAUGUGGAGGAACACCAGUGGCGAAGGCGACUCUCUGGUCUGUAACUGACGCUGAGGAGCGAAAGCGUGGGGAGCGAACAGGAUUAGAUACCCGCGUAGUCCCUGUCUCUUAUAC